GAUUGCUGUAAAUACCAGGAGUACAGCUAAAAUCACAGACCGCGAUUGGCUUGUGGGAGCAGUAAGCAUGGGUAUGGGAGAAGUUUACUGGGUUGUGAUUUUUUCAUAAGCCUUGUAAACAUGUGAAUUCUUAAACUACAUAUAUGUAUUAGAAGUAAAAGCAGUAUAUAUAGAAAUGAAAUAAAUAAAACGAAGUGCUCCAUUUCAAGCCUCCCCAGAACAGAAGUUGUCGACUGUGAAAAUAGAAAGGAGUCUUUAUGAUCUCCUCUUUCAGGGCAAAGCGGCCAACAUUGACCUCCAUCCUGGGCUGGGGAUGAAGCGUGGCUACCGGGCGACAUGCAUAUUGCUUCACAUGCCACCUCUUGCCUCCCAUCUUAGGAAACUCAGCUGCUUGAUUUUUCACUCUCAGGAGAUGAGACAGCCGGUCUUGGGGGAAAGUGGAAACCGCAGCACACACGACACAUUUUUCAAAUGCUUGUGUUACCCAGAGCCCUCGAGAAUGAGAAAGGAAGCUGGCGGCUUGGCAGGUGUGGAGGCCCCUUCCCGCAGACAUCUGUCAGCGGCUGUGGAAGCCCAGCCCCCUCCUCUUUGCAGAGGAAGAGCCCUGGAUUCCUGGCAAGAGCAGGCAUCCGUUCCACCGAUGUUGACCAUCUUAGCUGCCCUUUUUCACACCUUCCCAAGCAAAGGCCUCUGAAAGUGUGCUGCCCAGAACUGGACCUGAUCCUGACCAGGGAAGGAAGACUAAUUGCAGAAACGCACACGCACGGAGGCACUUCCUGCUCCCGGAUGAGCCUCUGGGGCCGCGCGGAGAGAAAGGGACGGCAGGAAGCGCCGCGGCCUCGGCGGGAGCCGGGCGCAAGGUCCCCGGUUGACGCGUACUGGGAGGCCGCCGCUCUGCCAUCAUGGUCCUCGGCUGUAAAGCCAGGCUAGCAGGAGACAAGAGUCCUGGCGAUUUGCAGACUCCUAAGACGAUUUGUGUGGUGGGAAGAUCGUCUUCCUUUUCUAUCAACGUGCUGGAGGUCAGCCGGCGCAUGUCCUGCUCCGCGAGGCCCUCUGACCACGGUGAUGGGCGCUCUCAUGGUGCGUCUCUGCACCUUCUUCCCCCGAAAUUCACCUGCCCCUGCACGACCUUUCCCAAUCGCUUCUCCAUGUCCUGUCCCAACUUGUCCUUGCUCUUUGCAUUCCGCUCUGGGUUUUAUUUUCUGCUCUGCACGUUUCUUUCGCAGGAGCGUCGGCAUUUCAUUUUUAAGCCUUCUGAUGACUUUAGGUCUUUCAAAU
RNAcentral lists this long non-coding RNA (1278 nucleotides) under Equus asinus (donkey). RNAcentral describes it as "lncRNA (ENSEASG00005029779.1)". The record is from RNAcentral. Lineage: Eukaryota; Metazoa; Chordata; Mammalia; Perissodactyla; Equidae.